Molecule: ribosomal RNA, 255 nt
Filed under: uncultured bacterium
Lineage: Bacteria
Description: partial 16S ribosomal RNA
Rfam family: Bacterial small subunit ribosomal RNA
Source: RNAcentral
UACGGAGGGGGGCUAGCGUUGUUCGGAAUUACUGGGCGUAAAGCGCACGUAGGCGGCUUUGUAAGUUAGAGGUGAAAGCCCGGGGGCUCAACUCCGGAAUUGCCUUUAAGACUGCAUCGCUAGAAUUGUGGAGAGGUAAGUGGAAUUCCGAGUGUAGAGGUGAAAUUCGUAGAUAUUCGGAAGAACACCAGUGGCGAAGGCGACUUACUGGACACAUAUUGACGCUGAGGUGCGAAAGCGUGGGGAGCAAACAGG